GACGAACGCUGGCGGCGUGCAUAACACAUGCAAGUCACGGGGGCCAGCAAUGGCAACCGGCGAACGGGUGCGUAACACGUAAGCGACCUACCUCGAUGUGGGGCAUAGCCGGCCUAACGGCCGGGUAAUUCCGCAUGUGAUCCUUGAGGGGCAUAUCUCGGGGAUGAAACCAGUAACGGCAUUGAGAGGGGCUUGCGGCCUAUCAGCUUGUUGGCGGGGUAACGGCUCACCAAGGCGACGACGGGUAGCUGGUCUGAGAGGAUGGCCAGCCACAUUGGGACUGAGAAACGGCCCAGACUCCUACGGGAGGCAGCAGUGGGGAAUCUUGCGCAAUGGCCUAACGGCUGACGCAGCGACGCCGCGUGAGGGA
RNAcentral lists this ribosomal RNA (370 nucleotides) under uncultured bacterium. RNAcentral describes it as "bacterial SSU rRNA". It matches the Rfam family "Bacterial small subunit ribosomal RNA", at positions 28 to 408 of the family's 1533-position model. The record is from RNAcentral.